GGAUACGGAAGUGGCUGGUGUGGCGUGGAUGUUGCGAUUUACGGGCUGCAACGGAGAAUCCAAGGAAAAUGGAUAUUGGAAGUGCGGAGGAAGUUAAGUGAUCGACCUUUUGUAUGUUGUGUUUACCUCUUAUUGUGGAUUGAGUUGAAGGAGCGAUCCUACGUUUGGAAGGCCCCUGAGUGAAGGAGAUCAUUGAAUUCGUGUUGGGAGAGGACAACACUGUGCACUGUGUUGAUAGUAGUGCCUUGCGUUGGAGAUCGCUGGGAAAGACGGAGAGACUCCGGUGUACGAUAUAUCUGCCUGCUGUGGUCUGCCCUCCUGCCUUUGUCCAUCUGACCCGCCCUGUCAGGACUCUGAGCCCGAAACGGGAAUACACCACCGAUCUUCUUUCACUGAGUGUGUGGAGUGUGGUGAGUGCUGCUAUAUUGAAGUGUACACACGAGAAGAAUUGUAGUGCCUUUGUGGUGUGUGGUGUUUGUCCGUGGUUGUGUCCCUGGUCGUAGGAAGAGGCCUGACGGAGAGGAGUAGUGUAUUGGUGGCAACCACAGUCUUUACCUUAAGUAAGCUGGAGCUCGGACGUGUUGGAGGCGCCUCUGGAGGAGGUUGGAUGUCGUUGCCCACGCAGCAAUCUCUGUAAGCUUUUAAAUCAAAGCCUUAUCCUUUUUAUCCAUGUGACGUUGUGUCCUUGGCCCUGUCGGCAACCACCGGCCUUGUGCGUGUCGUCUGUGCUGUUUAUUUGACGAGGGAAGCGAAGGACAACAGCCGAUCCUCCCCCGUGUGCCCCCUUGUCAAGCUGGGCGGGAAGCCCAGUAUUGUUUGCAGUUUCACCUGUAAGGCCCACCAGCCGUCAGUCAUCGACUAAACCCGUAUCUGCUUGGAAUACAGACCUCUGAAUAUCUUCCGUGGUGAGUAGCGCUAACAGCUCAGCCCUGUGAAUACUUACCUGUGUAUCGAACACUGUACUUACCUGAGAGCUAGAACCCCUGCACGCUAACAGCCCAGCCCUGUGAAUACCCACCUGUGUAUGGAACACUGUACUUACAUUGAGAGCUAGAACCCCUGCACGCUAACAGCCCAGCCCUGUGAAUACCCACCUGUGUAUGGAACACUGUACUUACCUGAGAGCUAGAACCCCUGCACGCUAACAGCUCAGCCCUGUGAACACUUACCUGUGUAUGGAACACUGUACUUACUUGAGAGCUAGAACCCCUGCACGCUAACAGCUUAGCCCUGUGAAUACUCACCUGUGUAUUGAACUCUGUAUUUACCUGAGAGCUAGAACCCCUGCACGUCAACUGCCUAGCUCUUGCUUUAAACUUACCUGGAGUGGAGUCGGCGGGAAAUUAAGGGCUGAAGUGGAGUGUUGUCGAGGAAGGGCUGAAGAGGAGUGUUCUUGAGACUGGAAUCCGUAUUUGUGGAUAAAGAAUAGUUCGAGUCAUCAUUAGUUUUAAAGUUUCCUUACCCCUUUCCCCAAACUUUUAAACAAAUAAAAUUGUUACAUUUUAA
Carassius gibelio (silver crucian carp) is the source of this 1506-nucleotide long non-coding RNA. RefSeq lists it as uncharacterized. The record is from RefSeq and is a predicted model, not a curated record. NCBI's taxonomy places the organism in Eukaryota, Metazoa, Chordata, Actinopteri, Cypriniformes, Cyprinidae. The transcript is spliced from 2 exons.